UACGUAGGUGGCAAGCGUUGUCCGGAAUCACUGGGCGUAACGCGCGCGCAGGCGGCGAUCUACGUCUGGGGUGAAAGCCCGGAGCUCAACUCCGGGACUGCCUUGGAUACGGGAUCGCUUGAGGAUUGGAGAGGCAAGGGGAAUUCCACGUGUAGCGGUGAAAUGCGUAGAUAUGUGGAGGAACACCGGUGGCGAAGGCGGCCUUCUGGACGGAUACUGACGCUGAUACGCGAAAGCGUGGGGAGCAAACGGG
Molecule: ribosomal RNA, 253 nt
Filed under: uncultured bacterium
Lineage: Bacteria
Description: partial 16S ribosomal RNA
Rfam family: Bacterial small subunit ribosomal RNA
Source: RNAcentral